RNAcentral lists this ribosomal RNA (450 nucleotides) under uncultured organism. RNAcentral describes it as "partial 16S ribosomal RNA". It matches the Rfam family "Bacterial small subunit ribosomal RNA", at positions 333 to 801 of the family's 1533-position model. The record is from RNAcentral.
ACACUCCUACGGGAGGCAGCAGUGGGGAAUAUUGGACAAUGGGCGCAAGCCUGAUCCAGCCAUGCCGCGUGAGUGAUGAAGGCCCUAGGGUUGUAAAGCUCUUUCACCGGUGAAGAUAAUGACGGUAACCGGAGAAGAAGCCCCGGCUAACUUCGUGCCAGCAGCCGCGGUAAUACGAAGGGGGCUAGCGUUGUUCGGAUUUACUGGGCGUAAAGCGCACGUAGGCGGACUAUUAAGUCAGGGGUGAAAUCCCGGGGCUCAACCCCGGAACUGCCUUUGAUACUGGUAGUCUUGAGUUCGAGAGAGGUGAGUGGAAUUCCGAGUGUAGAGGUGAAAUUCGUAGAUAUUCGGAGGAACACCAGUGGCGAAGGCGGCUCACUGGCUCGAUACUGACGCUGAGGUGCGAAAGCGUGGGGAGCAAACAGGAUUAAACCCUAGUAGUCCCAUGAU